Molecule: ribosomal RNA, 198 nt
Filed under: uncultured bacterium
Lineage: Bacteria
Description: partial 16S ribosomal RNA
Rfam family: Bacterial small subunit ribosomal RNA
Source: RNAcentral
ACGCUCGACACCUACGGGAGGUAGCAGUGGGGAAUAUUGCACAAUGGGGGAAACCCUGAUGCAGCGACGCCGCGUGAGUGAAGAAGUAUUUCGGUAUGUAAAGCUCUGUCAGCAGGGAAGAAAAUGACGGUACCUGAGUAAGAAGCCCCGGCUAACUACGUGCCAGCAGUCGCAGUAAUCUGAGCGGGCUGGCAAGGC